RNAcentral lists this ribosomal RNA (497 nucleotides) under uncultured bacterium. Its description in RNAcentral is "partial 16S ribosomal RNA". It matches the Rfam family "Bacterial small subunit ribosomal RNA", at positions 28 to 507 of the family's 1533-position model. The record is from RNAcentral.
GAUGAACGCUGGCGGCGUGCCUAAUACAUGCAAGUCGAGCGAACAGACGAGGAGCUUGCUCCUCUGACGUUGGCGGCGGACGGGUGAGUAACACGUGGAUAACCUACCUAUAAGACUGGGAUAACUUCGGGAAACCGGAGCUAAUACCGGAUAAUAUAUUGAACCGCAUGGUUCAAUAGUGAAAGACGGUUUUGCUGUCACUUAUAGAUGGAUCCGCGCCGCAUUAGCUAGUUGGUAAGGUAACGGCUUACCAAGGCAACGAUGCGUAGCCGACCUGAGAGGGUGAUCGGCCACACUGGAACUGAGACACGGUCCAGACUCCUACGGGAGGCAGCAGUAGGGAAUCUUCCGCAAUGGGCGCAAGCCUGACGGAGCAACGCCGCGUGAGUGAUGAAGGUCUUCGGAUCGUAAAACUCUGUUAUUAGGGAAGAACAAAUGUGUAAGUAACUAUGCACGCCUUGACGGUACCUAAUCAGAAAGCCACGGCUAACUACGUG